Suricata suricatta (meerkat) is the source of this 666-nucleotide long non-coding RNA. RefSeq lists it as uncharacterized. Lineage: Eukaryota; Metazoa; Chordata; Mammalia; Carnivora; Herpestidae. The transcript is spliced from 5 exons. The record is from RefSeq and is a predicted model, not a curated record.
GCUGCCCCAGCCAUGUGGACAUGAGGCGCUUUCCCAUGGAGCAUCUACUUUUUAUCUUGGGACAUCUAAUGCCAGCAGCUUUGAAGUCUUAAAAUAAGAUCAAACAGCGCAGAAUUCCCUUCCCAGUAUUUAAGCCCAGUCGCCUCUGUCCAGAUGACUUCUAUAAUCCUGCCAGGCAGAACACCUCACCCUGCUGUUCCUGCUGCUUUUCUGCGUGUCCUUUGAUUGACCUGUGAAGAAGACUCCCAUCUGGAAGUGAAAAGCUGGCUUCUCCACCUUUGUUGCUAAGGGGCUAAAAUCACUGGCCCUGAGGGUAGAACCAUAAGAUGAAAGGAGUCUUGGAGUCAUCAUUUGGAAAGUGAUUUUCCCGAAGAACCACAAGAGCAAGAACUCUUAUAUAGAACCAUCGCACGGGAGACAACCCCAGGAGACUGCGUGACCCGGUUCUGCCAUCUUGGUAGGAAGGACAGUUAAAACCACCAAGGAUGGAUAGGCUUCUGACCAGCCCGAGGACAACGGCUCCAUGGAUGUGGCCAUUCUUCAAGUUAGUACACCUCGCCCACGUGAUCACGGGAAGCCCUGAUGAUAAGUACCAUGAAUUAUUUCACGAGAAUGAAUUAACAUACAUAAAUAUCUUUAGAAUAAUGGGCAUAUAUAAUAAAUAGU